RNAcentral lists this ribosomal RNA (292 nucleotides) under uncultured bacterium. RNAcentral's name for it is "partial 16S ribosomal RNA". It matches the Rfam family "Bacterial small subunit ribosomal RNA", at positions 505 to 796 of the family's 1533-position model. The record is from RNAcentral.
GUGCCAGCCGCCGCGGUAAUACGGAGGGGGCGAGCGUUAUUCGGAAUUAUUGGGCGUAAAGGGCGCGUAGGCGGCUUGUUAAGUCAAAGGUGAAAUCCCUCGGCUCAACUGAGGAACUGCCUUUGAAACUAGCGAGCUUGAGGCCGGGAGGGGGUAGCGGAAUUCCCAGUGUAGCGGUGAAAUGCGUAGAUAUUGGGAGGAACACCAGUGGCGAAGGCGGCUACCUGGACCGGUUCUGACGCUGAGGCGCGAAAGCGUGGGUAGCAAACAGGAUUAGAAACCCCAGUAGUCC